Molecule: ribosomal RNA, 253 nt
Filed under: uncultured bacterium
Lineage: Bacteria
Description: partial 16S ribosomal RNA
Rfam family: Bacterial small subunit ribosomal RNA
Source: RNAcentral
GACGUAGGGCGCGAGCGUUGUCCGGAUUUAUUGGGCGUAAAGAGCUCGUAGGCGGCUUGUCGCGUCGAUCGUGAAAACUCACAGCUCAACUGUGAGCCUGCGGUCGAUACGGGCAGGCUAGAGUUCGGUAGGGGAGACUGGAAUUCCUGGUGUAGCGGUGAAAUGCGCAGAUAUCAGGAGGAACACCGGUGGCGAAGGCGGCGCGCUGGACCCUUUCUGACGCUGAUGCGCGAAAGCCAGGGGAGCAAACGGG